CAGCACCGCGGGAAUACGGAGGGUGCAAGCGUUAAUCGGAAUUACUGGGCGUAAAGCGCACGCAGGCGGUUUGUUAAGUCAGAUGUGAAAUCCCCGAGCUUAACUUGGGAACUGCAUUUGAAACUGGCAAGCUAGAGUCUUGUAGAGGGGGGUAGAAUUCCAGGUGUAGCGGUGAAAUGCGUAGAGAUCUGGAGGAAUACCGGUGGCGAAGGCGGCCCCCUGGACAAAGACUGACGCUCAGGUGCGAAAGCGUGGGGAGCAAACAGGAUUAGAUACCCGGGUAGUCCCUGUCUCUUAUACA
Molecule: ribosomal RNA, 301 nt
Filed under: uncultured bacterium
Lineage: Bacteria
Description: partial 16S ribosomal RNA
Rfam family: Bacterial small subunit ribosomal RNA
Source: RNAcentral